This 30-nucleotide non-coding RNA is filed under the name Rattus norvegicus (Norway rat). Lineage: Eukaryota; Metazoa; Chordata; Mammalia; Rodentia; Muridae. The record is from RNAcentral.
GGCCAUGAUAACUUUUACCCUCAAAGUGUU